Molecule: long non-coding RNA, 4882 nt
Filed under: Homo sapiens (human)
Lineage: Eukaryota; Metazoa; Chordata; Mammalia; Primates; Hominidae
Description: HSALNT0234028
Source: RNAcentral
GAUUCAUGCAAGGCCCUCGGGUGAGGGACUGUCGAUCCCGACAGCCAUGCCAGCGCAGGGCCAAGAAAGAAUGUCCUGGAAGGGUGGGGAUGGGUUGGGCUUUCUGAACCCUCCCACCUCAGGAAGGCAAAAGACACAGAUCACAGGCAGCAAGGGGCUGCCAUUUCUGAUGCUUAUACCCUCCACGGUGGCUACAGGAGCCCGCACCAGCAGUGGGAGGAGCAACAUUCCAGAAGCUGCUUCUCUCUGCACCGAUGCAGAAACUGUGCCUGCCAGAUAGUAAUGAUCCAGCCGAGGGCACCAGGCUACAAUUUGCAGAACUGGACUGAAGAAUGGCUGACAUAGCCAGCUGCAGUGGCUCAUGCUUGUAAUCCCAACAGUUUAGGAGGCCAAAGCAGGAGGAUCACUUGAAGUCAUGAGUUCAAGACCAGCCUGAGCAACAUGGCAAGACCCCAUCUCUAUAAAAAAUACAAUAAUUAGCAGGGCAUGGUCGCACAUGUCUGUAGUCCCAGCUGCUUGGUAGGCUGAGGCGGAUGGAUCAUUUCAGCCCAGGAGGCAAGACUGCAGUGAGCCAUGAGUAUGCCACUGCACUCCAGCCUGGGUGACAAAAGAAAAAAAAAAUAGAAUGGAUGAUAUAAACUUUAUUGUUUACUGUGGGGUUGCGGUGGGGGGAGGCGUUAGUUCGUUCUUCUUUCUCUCAAUACCUUUACAAAGUCUCUGUUUCAAAAGAGAGCGCAGAUUAUGCCUGCUACCCCAAGUCCUGAGUCAGAAUUCAAAGGCAAAUAUGGUAGGGUGAUGAGGCAGAAAGGACUUAGGCAGCAGGAGAGCUGUGAUUGGUGGAAGGGGCAGGCAGGAAGAGUUUGGGUUUGGAGACACUGGUUGCUGAGUCAGAACUCCAGCUCUGUCAUUGCCUGUGUGACUUUGGGCAAGUUACAUGUGAUUGUUGGAGCUUCCAUUUCAUUUGCUAAAUAAUUGGGAUCAUAAUACAUACAACGUGGAGUUGUUAGGAUGUCACGAGAGAAUGCACAAGAAGUAAGUACUCCCGAAUUGAGCUAUUAUCUACCUCAAAGGAUUACUGGAGAAAUAGAAAAGGGAUAUAAAGAAACACAGCAAAGAUGCUUCAUAAAAGCUGUGGAGAAAAGGAAAUGCACGUACUAACUGUCAAGCAACGCAGCUCCUCGGUGCGGAUACAAAGCAAGGCACGGAAAGGGUCCUGCUGUCUGGGAUCUUGCUGCCUGGUCACCCAUCACGGGUGACAAGAUCCGACCUCCUUCCUGCUGCACUGAUGCCCCAUGGGCCAGCAAAUGCCCACCAAAGGCCAGGCACUGAGGUUCUGGCCUGUUUCUCUGCUUCUGGGGCCUGGCCUUGGAGACUCACCCUAGACUUGCAAACUCUUUCAAAAGUGUUCUUUGUUCCUAUGUAGCACCCAUAGCAAUCACUCAAAGACAGAAAUGACUGGGGUCUGAGAGCUGCAGCUGCAAGAAAGAGGAAGGGAGAUGAAAGGAAAUCCCGCCACCUGCUCCUUGCCACAAGAAUAGAUGACUCGAGCCCCUGCUCCCUUUUGGCCUCCCCUCCACUGAACCCCCAUUUCUGGAUUCCCAUAUUCUUCCAGGUCUCAAAUGCUCCAGGCAUGUCCAACUGCCAAACUCCUGAAAUGAAACAUCCUCUGAAGUCACAAGGCAUAGAUUGGGCCACUGUAGUCCUCCUGUGACCCCAGGAAAGGCCCCUGGCCUCCUCAAGCCUCAGUUUCCAUGUUUGUCAAGUGGGGAGAAUAAAGCAGCACUAGCACUGCCUGCCUCAUGGUUCUACUGUAAGAAUCAUGGGGCAGGUUGAAGGCAGAGGGACUUCCUCGGCUCAGUGUGCCUUCAAGUGGGAGCUGGGGAGUAUUAGCCAUGUUCCAGAGCACUGCAAAUGCGCUCCUUUAAGAGUAGAGACGCUACCUGUGGACCUCAUUUUCACUGUCAUUUUUCCAUGUGUUCUGAUUUUGUCCUAUUUGCCACAAGAGAGGGAUGGGGUUCUCACUGCGUCAACUCCACAGAGGGCUGUUCUCCCUGAGUUUUUAGCAUAAGUAACCCAGGACCCAAAUGAGGAAUUUGGGUGUUUAGAGGUCCUCUUAUGGGUUUAUUUUGAACUAGCUGCUAAGAAUAAUCAUUAAUCAUCAUGAAAUAAGUAAAUUGUGGGAUGCCGCCCAUGCAGCCUGCCAUAUGGAGUUGCCACUGUUAGAAGCAGGAUCUUCUCACAGCAAUAUCUGCCCCUGGAGAAGGACAUCUGCCAUUUGCCUUUUUUGUUUGUUUGUUUUAUUCCCUCCUCUCUCUCUCUUUUAUCUUCAUAUACCAUCAGUUUCUUUCCUAAUCAAUAAGCCUCAUGGACCAUCUACUAUUAUCUCAGUUUGAGCUAUUUUGCUUAUUUUUUUUUUAGUACAAACUACCUGGAAUUCCUACAUACUACUUAGCCUAUAUUUAAAGCCAGAUCCUUCUAAACAUGCCCUCCAAGUUUGAAGAAUAUCCGUUCAACCAGUUUUAUUUACACAAAAAGAGAGGCUUGUUUAAUUUAUAGGGAUAUGUAUUGUAACUAUCUGUCUCCACCCUAGAAAAAAUGCUGUCCUAGACAGCCCUGGACAAGUUGCUGAACUGUGUUCCAAGAAAGUGCUAGUUACUUGUCAUUUAUUGAGAAUACCCUUUGUUUAAAGAAAACUGAAAGCAUACCAGGCAUUGUGGUAAUAUCUUGUUUAGUCAUCAGCACCUCCUCCAACAGUUAGGUACUAUUAUGAUUCCAUUUUACAGGUGAGGAAAAUGAGAGUAGAGAGGAUGAGACAAUGAGAGUAGGAGGGAUGAGGCAGGUUUCUCAGAACCGCAAGCUCAUAAGUAAGAGCCAGGGUGCAAAUCAAGGCCUUCAAUCCACUUUCCAGGAGGCCUGCUGAUGAACUCACAAUGCUCUCCUACAAAAGGCCUGUGGGCUAGGUGCUGGUAUUGUCCUCAUUUUACAGAGCAGGGGGUGAGCUCAGAGAACCUUGGGUGUGAUGAGUUGAGUAAGGAGAGAUGAAAGAUGCUCUUGAACCUCAGCACACAGAGGUGGCCUCCAGGCUUCAAAUGGAUACUUUAUAUUUCUAUUAGUAACGUUACCUGCUACUAUAUUAUGCGAAUUGACUGGAUAGGUUUUCACUGAGUUUGGAAAGUAAGAGUGUGGGAUGGUUUUACUUAAACUAUAGGAUGUGGUGUACAUGUGAAAUAGAUCUUUGGGUUCUAACAUCUUUGGUACAUGUGAAAUAGAUCUUGGGGCCUCCAAGACAUAAUAACACCUAGGACCAACCACCCUCUCAGCAACUGAAGAACACUUUGUGUUUGAUUAUGCGUAAGAUUGUUUAAUCAAUCGCUUUUUUCCCCUGUCACAAUAUUCCACCUUCACGAAGUGUCUUUCAUCUUGGAUCUCCAAAACAGGAGUAAAAGCUGUAAUUAGUUGCAAUGACUGUUGUGUUUUUAAUAGUUACCUGCUGUAAUGUCCAUUUGACAGAUGAAGGGGCUGAGGCUUUGGGUCAGAGUAUGAUAUGCUAAAUGUGGAGAUCCAAGACAGAAGCUAGCCAAGUUCCUCCCACCCUGGAGAGCAGGGCUCCCGGGAGCCCUACAGGAAGCCUUGAUAUGUCACAGAACAAAAAGCACCAUAGAUGGUUUCAGCCUGUCUCCUCCUGCCUUGAGGCAGGGCUCAAGAUUCUUUCUGGAUUGAGAAAAAUAGUUGACUUUCCACCGCAUUUUAAAACAGGUAUAAUUUGUCCAUUCCACUAAAAAAUGAAAGGGGGUUUAAGAUUUAAGAUGCUACUGCCGCAUGUACCAACCUCAAUUUGCUCGUGAUUCAUGAUAAAUCCUAAAUCACAACCAGCUUUUAUUGAAUUUGUGUGUGUGUGUGUGUGUGUGUGUGUGUGCAGGGAGAGGUAGAGUAGGUUGACGUUUGGGAAAAAAAUGAAGAGAACUUUCUCCUACUUUCAACUCUAAAAGAGCAAGAUCCUCAAUGCAACCCUGUGAGUCAAACAAGAGACACAGGAUUUGUCCAAAGUCAUUACUGGUAAAUGGCAGAGCCAGGAUUCAAACCAAAGGGCUUCUUCUAAAACUACAGCAGUGUGUGCAAACGAAGAAGAGAGGGAACCCUGGCUGAAUAGCCGUUUUGGGGGAAGUCAGGAAGUGGAAACUCGCACUUUGGGGAGAAAAAAAAGCACUCAGCAAAAAGAAACAAGGUGUCUUCUUUGGAGCAAACUAAUAAAAAUAUUUUAAAAAUCAGAAGGUUUGUCAUGGGAGUAGAUCUACGGUCGCUCGACCCGUCUUCAGUUCAACUCCUAGAUAUGUACUGUAGAAAAACUCUUAUUCACAUCUGUUGAAAAACAUGUACAAGAAUAUCAUAUAGUUGUAUUAAGUUGGUGCAAAUAUAAUGGUGGUUUUUGCUGUUACUUUCAAUGGCAAAAACCGCCAUUAUGUUUGGACCACGCUAAUAUUUGAAAACAAACAAAUACACGAAAACCAGGCAACUAGAAAUGGCCCCUAUAUCUAACAACAGGACAAUGAAUAAAUGGAAUAGAACAGUACCUAGCAGGGAAAAUAAAUGAACCACAUACAGGUACAUGCACCAACAUGAAUUAAACCUAGAAAUCUAAUGCAGAGAGGAAAAAUUGAGUGAUGCCAGAUAAUAUAAGAUAUGGUGACAUUUUUACCAAGUUAAAAACAAGCCACACACAUACACCUACAGUUCAGUGAUAUCUACCUGAAAAAUACAACUUUUAAGAAAAGCCAGAGAAUGGUAAACAUAAAGUUUAAGGUAGUUUAACUUGAUGAGGAAAAGAGAAAGGACUUGGGAAAGAAGUUUCACCGAUACUGGUUUAUGGUUCUUGAGACAUUGU